ACGGAAGGCAGCAGUGGGGGAUAUUGCACAAUGGGGGAAACCCUGAUGCAGCGACGCCGCGUGAGUGAAGAAGUAUUUCGGUAUGUAAAGCUCUAUCAGCAGGGAAGAUGAUGACGGUACCUGACUAAGAAGCCCCGGCUAACUACGUGCCAGCAGCCGCGGUAAUACGUAGGGGGCAAGCGUUAUCCGGAUUUACUGGGUGUAAAGGGAGCGUAGGCGGCUGUGCAAGUCAGAUGUGAAAACCCGGGGCUUAACUCCGGGACUGCAUUUGAAACUGCGUGGCUUGAGUACUGGAGAGGCAAGCGGAAUUCCUAGUGUAGCGGUGAAAUGCGUAGAUAUUAGGAAGAACACCGGUGGCGAAGGCGGCUUGCUGGACAGAGACUGACGCUGAGGCUCGAAAGCGUGGGGAGCAAACAGGAUUAGAUACCCUGGUA
RNAcentral lists this ribosomal RNA (434 nucleotides) under uncultured Clostridium sp. Its description in RNAcentral is "partial 16S ribosomal RNA". It matches the Rfam family "Bacterial small subunit ribosomal RNA", at positions 341 to 792 of the family's 1533-position model. The record is from RNAcentral. Lineage: Bacteria; Bacillati; Bacillota; Clostridia; Eubacteriales; Clostridiaceae.